RNAcentral lists this ribosomal RNA (309 nucleotides) under uncultured fungus. Its description in RNAcentral is "SSU rRNA". It matches the Rfam family "Eukaryotic small subunit ribosomal RNA", at positions 39 to 352 of the family's 1831-position model. RNAcentral also lists the same sequence under 1 other name. The record is from RNAcentral. Lineage: Eukaryota; Fungi.
AAAGAUUAAGCCAUGCAUGUCUAAGUAUAAGCAAUUAUACCGCGAAACUGCGAAUGGCUCAUUAAAUCAGUUAUCGUUUAUUUGAUAGUACCUUACUACAUGGAUAACCGUGGUAAUUCUAGAGCUAAUACAUGCUGAAAAUCCCGACUUCGGAAGGGAUGUAUUUAUUAGAUUAAAAACCAAUGCCCUUCGGGGCUCUCUGGUGAUUCAUAAUAACUUCUCGAAUCGCACGGCCUUGCGCCGGCGAUGGUUCAUUCAAAUUUCUGCCCUAUCAACUUUCGACGGCUGGGUCUUGGCCAGCCGUGGUGA